RNAcentral lists this long non-coding RNA (1105 nucleotides) under Coturnix japonica (Japanese quail). Its description in RNAcentral is "lncRNA (ENSCJPG00005002349.1)". The record is from RNAcentral. Lineage: Eukaryota; Metazoa; Chordata; Aves; Galliformes; Phasianidae.
UGAAUUGGGAUUAGGAUUGGGAUUAGGAUUGGGAUUAGGAUUGGAUUGGGAAUUGGCAAUGGGAUUAAGGGGAUUAAUGGGCAUUGGGAUUAGAGAUUGCGUAGUAGAUAAGGAUGGGAUAUAAUGGGAUGGGAGUAGGAAGAUGCUAUAAUGGGAUCUUUGCCCCCAGCCCCAUAUAGGUGACCCUAUAGACCCACAUCUCAGCGGUGAUGUACUGCAGCCUCUUGCUGACGGUGACUCGGGCGUCGUCCAUGUCCUGUCGGACCAGAACCGGCCCCAGCAGCUUAAAGAUGGUGUUGGACGAGUCCAGCAGGGACAGCUCCUAUAGGGGGAUAUGGGGGGUAAGUGGGGGGGGGGAGGGGUCUUUUGGGGGGUCUGGAGGGGUCCUUUUGGGGGCUCUUUGGGGGGAUAAAAUGGGGGUUCAAUGGGGUGAUAUGGGGGGGAAUAUGUGGGGGGAGGGGUCCUUGUGGAGGGGUCUAAGGGGUCUUGGUAUCAAGGUGGGUCUUAAGAGGGUACUAUGAGGGGGUCUUGGGGGGGCUCGAGGGGGGUCGGAGGGGUCUUUGAUGGGGAUACAGAAUGGGGGAUGUGGGGGUCUGAUGGGGGUCUUUGGGGGGAUAAAAUGGGGGUUAAUGGGGGGGAUAUGGGGGGGGAGGGGUCUUUGGGGGGGUCUUUGGGGAGGGGCUGUGGGGGUCCCAGGGGGAUUUUUGGCAGGGGUCUUAAGGGGGAUUUGGGGGUCUUUGGGGGUCCUUUGGGGGUCUUGAGGGGGAUAUUGGGGGGGGAUAUGGGGCGAGAGGGGUUUUGGAGGGGUUCUGAGGAGGAUCUUUGGGGGUCUAAGGGGUUUGGGGUCUUGGGGGUUUUUGGGGGGAUAAAAAUGGGGGUUAUAUGGGGGGGAUAUGGGCGAGGGAGGGGUCUUUGGGGGGGUCUUUGGGGGUCCAGCGCGUGGCCGCAUCCCCCACCCCCUCAGCCAACAGGGAACAGGCCGCCCCCCCUAGCAGCGGCGCCCAGGGGCUGUGAGGAGCCUGGAGGCGCAUGGCCUGGGGGGGGAGAAAAAUGGGGGUGCAAUGGGGGGGAUAUGGAGGGAUAUGGGGGGGGAGGGGUCUUUUGG